This 779-nucleotide long non-coding RNA is filed under the name Gopherus agassizii (Agassiz's desert tortoise). RNAcentral describes it as "lncRNA (ENSGAGG00000025089.1)". The record is from RNAcentral. Lineage: Eukaryota; Metazoa; Chordata; Testudines; Testudinidae.
AUCCCAGGAGAAAAAUCCUCUGUUGUGUAACAGUUACAAUUGCUCAAGUACUCCAAAAAGCAAUCCAAACAUUAAGGACAUGAGGAAAUUUGGUUUUGAGGACACACUGCCCAGAGAGCAAUCAGCAGCUGGUGUGAAGCACAGUCACCACCCAGCCCCAUUCAACACAUGCAUACCAUGCUUACGAGAAGACAAUUACACAGAUGACUAUCCUCCAGAAAACGCCACAGAUUUUUAUUAUCCAGAAUACGUCACAAGUUAUUAUCGUGAAUUUGAAACUUUGUUUGAAAAGAAUUUGACAGAGUCUGCAGGAUCAUCACUCCACGGCCAUCUUCCCUUCUUCUUUGUCCUUCUCCAUCUUCUAUGUUUUUUGCUACAACAAUUCACACUUCUUUUGUAGAAGAUGUGAACAGCUUUGCUUUGAAUUAGAACAUUCCUCAAGGAGGAAAACAAAGAACUCUGUCACACAUGUAAAUUACUUCCCCUACAAUGAAUCAGUCAUCUUUUUUUAGUGCAGUUUAUGUAUUUAUGUAGAAACACAAACAAAUAUAACAGCUAUGUUUCCUCAUAGGUAGUAUAAAUUGCAUGAAUGUUGACUAGCUGUUUGUAUCUUCUGUAUUUCUUCCUCUCACAUUUCCUCACUAUCAUUCACUGGGUCCUAUUGUAAAUAAGAAAUAUGUGCCAACAAAAUGAAGCACUGGCUGAUCACUCCAGAUCUUUUAGUGCUAUCUGAUGUUCUGACAUCACUGGAUCAGCUGCUGCUGUCUCCCUGGAAUGCA